UGUGUGUCUAGUUGCUAGUUGGCAACAACGACUUUGUGCCGGAGCCAUGGCAAUAGCUGCCUCGCCAAUUGAGUUUAUGCCAAAUAAUAAUAUUCACCUGCAGCUUUCCGCUGGGAUAUCCGCAAUAAGUAGGUAUUGCAUCCACGGGUGCAUCUUAAAAAUGCAACUAAUGAAAUUACUUGAGUCGACGACUUCUCCUGUUUCAGUGUAAUAACCUAAUUCCAUGGUACUAUAUUAUUCAUUUCGCUGCACCCAGCCGACAGGAAUUUGAUGGAAUUUCCUGUAAACAGGCAGCUCGCAGCAGACAGACAGACGUACCAGACGGACACACAAGCCACUUCCCUCGAAUAGACAGACUCACAGACAAGGCAACGCAUACAGUGAACAGCCUGGAUGUAGGAAGGGGACACGAAGUCCGACGGGUACAUAAACAGGCUUAUGAGCAGCUCCUCGUAAGCGAACUUCCAUUGAAUGGUUGGUCUUCUGUUGCCACCACAGACAAUCAGAAAGGCAUUCAGCCAAGAGAACGCCGAACACCAGCAACAAAACUUGGCCAAAACACAGGGAAAAACUGAUAAAGAACAUUUUUUAGAAAUCUAAAUGAUAUUUAAGAUCUUAGCUUAAAUUCCAAAGUAAUCAGUAACUUGAACAUUUACUUACUUUUCUAAGAUUAAUUAAUAAGGAAAUAAGGAGGCUUAAUACGAAAGGAAAGCAAUUUUUUGAUACAACAGCUUAAUUUAAAAUGUCAUUCAAAAUUCAAAAAUGAAUAUAAAACAUCUUUUGCCCAGGGCGACAUUUGUUUGCAUACUUGAGCUAAAAGCCAGCACAAUAUUGCUGGAAGACUGAGUGUCCCAAAGACAAUUCUCUGGGUGAUUCAUUUGGCAUUUUGCGAACUUAAUUGAUGGCAAUUUGUGAUUCGUCGUACGCCGCACUCCAUCUGCACGAGACCGAGACAGCGGACCAUUAACACAUUUUAAUCUGCCGCCGGGCGAAUGGCUUUUGUGCGGUUGGUGGGGUCUCUGUGUAUCUGAAUCUGAAUAUGAAUCCGAGACCGAAACUGAAUCGGAAUCGGAAUCGGAAUCGGAAGAUCCUCCGGCAACGAAAGCUGGCGCUCAGUCGCUCUUAAUCAUCAGCAUAAGCAAUAAUGGGAAACAAUUGCCAUCUGCCGACUGCCAGACCUCAGUUGCUUUUGCUUUUGCUUUUGCUCUGCUGUUGCUCUUGCUGUUGCUGCCACUGAAAUUGCUGAGCUGAGGCACAAACUUUUAUUGCAUUGCCAUGUCAACAGUCGUAGCAGCAGCAAUUGUUAUCCCUGUGUACGAGUGAGUGUGUGGCACCAUUGCACUUAAAAUGCGAAUCCGAAUCUGAAACCGACUGCGAAUGCGAAUUGUGACGCAAAAUGAAGCUACUUGUGCGCCACUGGCAGCAGAUACAGAUACAGAUGCAAACUGUGCGGUGCCACUGCUGCUGCGAGUGCUGCUGCUGCUGCUGCUGCUGCUGCAGCAUGCCACAUUCAAUUAGUGCAACAACAUAUCCUGCCAGCAGUUGAUGUUGCUCUCUUGCACGGCAGUCCGUAGUCCAGAGUCUGUGCUACACUUAAUUUUAUUCAUUUGACAGUGCCACAGUCGGUGUCUCGUCCAUGGGGCACAUUCGAAUCGCUGCCACACGUUCACCAGCAAUUAAGGUCAUUGAAGGCAGCAGAAAAAGCAGCAACAGAAAGUGCAACGGGCCAACAACAGAGGAAAUACUUUUUAAUUAUGACAUUUUAUUGAGUGAACAUUUAUGCAAAUAUGACAAGACCUUUUAUUUUGUCGCCAUUCAGGGUUUGAGGCGAUUUUAAUGAGCGGGUUAACAGGGUUGAACAGAUCCAUUGUUCAAGCGAUUUUGCAUUCAAGUUGGGGAAAUACGGACGAAGUUUGCCGACUAAGGGUUAACAUAAUUUGCCCAAG
Molecule: non-coding RNA, 1946 nt
Organism: Drosophila melanogaster (fruit fly)
Lineage: Eukaryota; Metazoa; Arthropoda; Insecta; Diptera; Drosophilidae
Source: Ensembl